AUUGAACGCUGGCGGCAGGCCUAACACAUGCAAGUCGAGCGGUAGAGAGAAGCUUGCUUCUCUUGAGAGCGGCGGACGGGUGAGUAAUGCCUAGGAAUCUGCCUGGUAGUGGGGGAUAACGUUCGGAAACGGACGCUAAUACCGCAUACGUCCUACGGGAGAAAGCAGGGGACCUUCGGGCCUUGCGCUAUCAGAUGAGCCUAGGUCGGAUUAGCUAGUUGGUGAGGUAAUGGCUCACCAAGGCGACGAUCCGUAACUGGUCUGAGAGGAUGAUCAGUCACACUGGAACUGAGACACGGUCCAGACUCCUACGGGAGGCAGCAGUGGGGAAUAUUGGACAAUGGGCGAAAGCCUGAUCCAGCCAUGCCGCGUGUGUGAAGAAGGUCUUCGGAUUGUAAAGCACUUUAAGUUGGGAGGAAGGGUUGUAGAUUAAUACUCUGCAAU
Molecule: ribosomal RNA, 444 nt
Filed under: Pseudomonas sp.
Lineage: Bacteria; Pseudomonadati; Pseudomonadota; Gammaproteobacteria; Pseudomonadales; Pseudomonadaceae
Also listed under: 1 other name
Description: bacterial SSU rRNA
Rfam family: Bacterial small subunit ribosomal RNA
Source: RNAcentral